CUUGAUCGAGCCGAGCCGCAGCGGCUCGUCCCGGUCCUGGCCGUAGGUCGCCAGGAGCGCCUGCGCCUC
Molecule: antisense RNA, 69 nt
Filed under: Actinosynnema mirum DSM 43827
Lineage: Bacteria; Bacillati; Actinomycetota; Actinomycetes; Pseudonocardiales; Pseudonocardiaceae
Description: ASpks TB sRNA
Rfam family: ASpks TB sRNA
Source: Rfam by way of RNAcentral